Molecule: ribosomal RNA, 378 nt
Filed under: uncultured bacterium
Lineage: Bacteria
Description: bacterial SSU rRNA
Rfam family: Bacterial small subunit ribosomal RNA
Source: RNAcentral
GACGAACGCUGGCGGCGCGCCUAAUACAUGCAAGUCGUACGGGACACCCUUCGGGUGUCAGUGGCGGACGGGUGAGUAACACGUGGGUGACCUGCCCUGCAGUGGGAAUAACUCUGGGAAACCAGAGCUAAUACCGCAUACGCUUAGUGCAUCAUAGCAUUAAGUAAAGAGUAAUACGCUGCAGGAAGGGGCCUGCGCCGGAUUAGCUAGUCGGUCGGGGUAAUGGCCACCGAGGCGACGAUCCGUAGCUGGUCUGAGAGGACGACCGAGCCACACUGGGACUGACGACACGGCCCAGGACUCCUACGGGAGGCAGCAGUAAGGAAUAUUCCACAAUGGGCGCAAGCCUGAUGGAGCGACGCCGCGUGAGCGAAGAAG